GAUGAAGAACGCAGCGAAAUGCGAUACUUGGUGUGAAUUGCAGAAUCCCGUGAACCAUCGAGUCUUUGAACGCAAGUUGCACCCGAAGCCGUCAGGCCGAGGGCACGCCUGCCUGGGCGUCACACGCCGUUGCCCACCCCGCGCCCCGCACCCAACUCUUUGGGAGCGACCGCGGGGCGGGCUGAUGAUGGCCUCCCGUGCGCUCCGCCGCGCGGUUGGCCCAAAUACCGCGUCCCCGGCGACGUGCGCCACGACGAUCGGUGGUUGAGAGACCUCUGUCGCAAGUCGUGCGCGCCCGUCGCGUCACGCGGGCUCGCAUAGCGCCUCGCGCCGCACCCGGUGCGGAGCUUUCAACGCGACCCCAGGUCAGGCGGGGUUACCCGCUGAAUUUAAGCAUAUCAAUAAGCGGAGGA
This 413-nucleotide unclassified non-coding RNA is filed under the name soil metagenome. RNAcentral's name for it is "partial contains 5.8S ribosomal RNA, internal transcribed spacer 2, and large subunit ribosomal RNA". The stretch from base 1 to 122 matches the Rfam family "5.8S ribosomal RNA", at positions 35 to 154 of the family's 154-position model. The record is from RNAcentral.